Molecule: ribosomal RNA, 226 nt
Filed under: uncultured bacterium
Lineage: Bacteria
Description: partial 16S ribosomal RNA
Rfam family: Bacterial small subunit ribosomal RNA
Source: RNAcentral
UAACGCGUGAGGAACCUGCCUCAAAGAGGGGGACAACAAGUUGGAAACGACUGCUAAUACCGCAUAAGCCCACAGCUCGGCAUCGAGCAGAGGGAAAAGGAGUGAUCCGCUUUGAGAUGGCCUCGCGUCCGAUUAGCUAGUUGGUGAGGUAAUGGCCCACCAAGGCGACGAUCGGUAGCCGGACUGAGAGGUUGAACGGCCACAUUGGGACUGAGACACGGCCCAG